Molecule: long non-coding RNA, 366 nt
Filed under: Nicotiana benthamiana
Lineage: Eukaryota; Viridiplantae; Streptophyta; Magnoliopsida; Solanales; Solanaceae
Description: long non-coding RNA (NBEN_LNC004262)
Source: RNAcentral
UUGCAACUAAUCUGAGUCAGCAUUAGUUAGUGUUAGUUUGCAAAUCAGCUAGUUAGUGAAAAUUUAGUUAGUGGACGUCACAUGUAUAUAUUGAACAAUACCCAAUACAUUAAAUCUGAGUUUUCAUUUCACAACUUAAUAAACUCUCAACGAUUCGUCUCCUCUCUCUACGAGCUCCUCCUAGAAGCUAUCGAAUCCUCCAUUGGAGGAGAUAUAAAGCUUGGUUCAUAGCUGAAGUCUUGACAAAAAGGAAGCCACUUUCUAUUUGAUUUUCUUUUAUUCAUCGGAUUUAAAUUUGAGACCUCUAGCUAAAGAUAGUGAUGUUCAAUCUCACUAGAAAUUUCGAGUAUCUCUACCUAGCACUUU